CGGUUGAUCCUGCCGGACCUGACUGCUAUCGGAUUGAUACUAAGCCAUGCGAGUCAUUGUAGUAAUACAAGGCAGACGGCUCAGUAACGCGUAGUCAACCUAGCCUAUGGACGGGAAUAACCUCGGGAAACUGAGUAUAAUGCCCGAUAGAACAUUAUGCCUGGAAUGGUUUAUGUUCCAAAUGAUUUAUCGCCGUAGGAUGGGACUGCGGCCUAUCAGUUUGUUGGUGAGGUAAUGGCCCACCAAGACUAUUACAGGUACGGGCUCUGAGAGGAGUAGCCCGGAGAUGGGUACUGAGACACGGACCCAGGCCCUAUGGGGCGCAGCAGGCGAGAAAACUUUGCAAUGUGCGAAAGCACGACAAGGUUAAUCCGAGUGGUUUCUGCUAAAGGAACCUUUUGUCGGUCCUAGAAACACCGAUGAAUAAGGGGUGGGCAAGUUCUGGUGUCAGCCGCCGCGGUAAAACCAGCACCUCAAGUGGUCAGGAUGAUUAUUGGGCCUAAAGCAUCCGUAGCCGGCUCUGUAAGUUUUCGGUUAAAUCUGUACGCUCAACGUACAGGCUGCCGGGAAUACUGCAGAGCUAGGGAGUGGGAGAGGUAGACGGUACUCGGUAGGAAGGGGUAAAAUCCUUUGAUCUAUUGAUGACCACCUGUGGCGAAGGCGGUCUACCAGAACACGUCCGACGGUGAGGGAUGAAAGCUGGGGGAGCAAACCGGAUUAGAUACCCGGGUAGUCCCAGCUGUAAACUAUGCAAACUCAGUGAUGCAUUGGCUUGNNGNCCAAUGCAGUGCUGCAGGGAAGCCGUUAAGUUU
This 812-nucleotide ribosomal RNA is filed under the name uncultured archaeon. RNAcentral describes it as "bacterial SSU rRNA". It matches the Rfam family "Archaeal small subunit ribosomal RNA", at positions 5 to 822 of the family's 1478-position model. The record is from RNAcentral.